UCUUUGACGUUAGCUGCAGAAGAAGCACCGGCUAACUCCGUGCCAGCAGCCGCGGUAAUACGGAGGGUGCGAGCGUUAAUCGGAAUUACUGGGCGUAAAGCGCAUGCAGGCGGCGUGUUAAGCCAGAUGUGAAAGCCCGGGGCUCAACCUCGGAAUCGCAUUUGGAACUGGCAGGCUAGAGUCUUGUAGAGGGGGGUAGAAUUUCAGGUGUAGCGGUGAAAUGCGUAGAGAUCUGAAGGAAUACCGGUGGCGAAGGCGGCCCCCUGGACAAAGACUGACGCUCAGAUGCGAAAGCGUGGGGAGCAAACAGGAUUAGAUACCCUGGUAGUCCACGCCGUAAACGAUGUCUACUUGGAGGUUGGAAUCUUGAAUUCUGGCUUUCGGAGCUAACGCGUUAAGUAGACCGCCUGGGGAGUACGGUCGCAAGAUUAAAACUCAAAUGAAUUGACGGGGGCCCGCACAAGCGGUGGAGCAUGUGGUUUAAUUCGAUGCAACGCGAAGAACCUUACCUACUCUUGACAUCCAGCGAAUCCUUUA
RNAcentral lists this ribosomal RNA (537 nucleotides) under uncultured Photobacterium sp. RNAcentral describes it as "bacterial SSU rRNA". It matches the Rfam family "Bacterial small subunit ribosomal RNA", at positions 466 to 1002 of the family's 1533-position model. The record is from RNAcentral. Lineage: Bacteria; Pseudomonadati; Pseudomonadota; Gammaproteobacteria; Vibrionales; Vibrionaceae.